Molecule: ribosomal RNA, 381 nt
Filed under: Triticum aestivum (bread wheat)
Lineage: Eukaryota; Viridiplantae; Streptophyta; Magnoliopsida; Poales; Poaceae
Description: partial small subunit ribosomal RNA
Source: RNAcentral
AUGGCACUGGGAUUCACCAAGUUUGAUGUGGAGAAAUUCGAUGGCACGGGUAACUUCGGUCUAUGGCAGACAAGAGUCAAGGAUAUUCUGGCGCAGCAGGGAAUCUUGAAGGGUUUGCAGGAGACGAAGCCGGCCAAGGUUGACAAUGAUGCGUGGGAGGAUAUGCAAGUGCAGGCGGCCGCUACCAUACGGCUUUGUCUUGCGGAUCAGGUCAUGUAUCAUGUCAUGGACGAAGAUACUCCUAAGGGAAUUUGGGACAAGUUGGCAAAUCGUUAUAUGUCCAAGUCAGGGACCAAUAAGCUGUAUUUGAAGCAAAAGUUCUAUGGGUUGAAGAUGCAGGAGGGGUCGGAUCUUGUGGAGCAUGUGAAUGCCUUUAAUCAA